This is a small nuclear RNA of Oncorhynchus mykiss (rainbow trout), 54 nucleotides long. Its record names the gene U7. It matches the Rfam family "U7 small nuclear RNA". Rfam says of the family: Animal histone pre-mRNAs are spliced by a different mechanism than nuclear pre-mRNAs and self-splicing introns. This processing involves the U7 snRNP, which contains only one RNA species: U7. The 5' end of U7 RNA is thought to base-pair to a conserved spacer element downstream of the cleavage site in histone pre-mRNA. NCBI's taxonomy places the organism in Eukaryota, Metazoa, Chordata, Actinopteri, Salmoniformes, Salmonidae. The record is from Ensembl.
AAAUGUCCUCUUUUAGUAUAUGUCCAGUAGGUUUCCUCAAGGAGGAAGACCCAG